AACGCUGGCGGCAGGCUUAACACAUGCAAGUCGAGCGGGCGUAGCAAUACGUCUGCGGCAGACGGGUUAGUAACGCGUGGGAACGUACCUUUCGGUUCGGGAUAAGCCAGGGAAACUUGGUCUAAUACCGAAUACGCCCUUACGGGGAAAGAUUUAUUGCCGAAAGAUCGGCCCGCGUCUGAUUAGCUAGUUGGUGAGGUAAAAGCUCACCAAGGCAACAAUCAGUAGCUGGUCUGAGAGGAUAAUCAGCCACAUUGGGACUGAAACACGGCCCAAACUCCUACGGGAGGCAGCAGUGGGGAAUAUUGGACAAUGGGCGCAAGCCUGAUCCAGCCAUGCCGCGUGAGUNAUGAAGGCCCUAGGGUUGUAAAGCUCUUUUGUGCGGGAAGAUAAUGACGGUACCGCAAGAAUAAGCCCCGGCUAACUUCGUGCCAGCAGCCGCGGUAAUACGAAGGGGGCUAGCGUUGCUCGGAAUCACUGGGCGUAAAGGGUGCGUAGGCGGGUCUUUAAGUCAGAGGUGAAAGCCUGGAGCUCAACUCCAGAACUGCCUUUGAUACUGAGGAUCUCGAGUUCGGGAGAGGUGAGUGGAACUGCGAGUGUAGAGGUGAAAUUCGUAGAUAUUCGCAAGAACACCAGUGGCGAAGGCGGCUCACUGGCCCGAUACUGACGCUGAGGCACGAAAGCGUGGGGGGCAAACAGGAUUAGAUACCCUGGUAGUCCACGCCGUAAACGAUGAAUGCCAGCCGUUGGGGAGUUUACUCUUCAGUGGCGCAGUUAACGCUUUAAGCAUUCCGCCUGGGGAGUACGGUCGCAAGAUUAAAACUCAAAGGAAUUGACGG
RNAcentral lists this ribosomal RNA (839 nucleotides) under uncultured alpha proteobacterium GT20-1a. RNAcentral describes it as "bacterial SSU rRNA". It matches the Rfam family "Bacterial small subunit ribosomal RNA", at positions 32 to 916 of the family's 1533-position model. The record is from RNAcentral. Lineage: Bacteria; Pseudomonadati; Pseudomonadota; Alphaproteobacteria.